AGUUUUAAAUGUCAAACGCAGUGACAAUUUUGGUUCAAUUUGAAAAGUGCUUGCUGCGGCAAUUGACUACCAGCAAAUAAAGUCAACAGGCCAAUCGGUUGUCAGAAACAGAGAGAGCACGAAUUCGUCAAAGGUUUCGCUCACCUCUAUUCCUCAUUCUCAAUUAUUUAUGUCGAUUUAUGUAUAUUUACGAAGUGUUGUUUAUUGUUUUUUUAUCGUCAUAUUGCCAAAAAGUAAAAACUAACGAACAAAUGUAUUUAAUUAGCUGCUAAAUCAGAGGGCGAUGUUUGCACUUGAGACAGUAAAUCAAAGCAGUGGAAAAAAUAAUAAAAUAAGAACUUGAUUAUUCAGAUGGUGGGGAAUGCCGUUAUGCCAUGGAAAAAGUUUACUCAUUUCGUGCGUGCAACCUAACGGUUAUGGUGGCAGAGUCGCCGGUGUAGGUGGUGAGGCGCAAUCAUUUCGCUUGUAGAGUUGCUGAUCGGUUUGCACUCGAAACCAAGCGAAGCAAGCCCACUACGGCGUGCCAUGGCGUGUUGGCAAUUAAAUGGCGUGAAAGCGAUGAGUACACACUUGAGGUGCCGAGACGCGUUUAGACGCACAUUUGCGUAAAGAGUGCAUAACGUGUUGUAAUGUAAGAAGGUUGUAACUCAAUUUAAAAAAUAUGGCUGCCACAAACGUCGCUCUUAAAACUGUUUUAAAUAACAAAGAUUUCCUAAGACACACCAUUGCGUGUGAGUGAGAAGGGAUGAGAAAGUCUAGUAACUGCUUCAGUAUUUAUGGCGAUUUCAAAGCACUCAAAUUCUGGUUUUAUUCUGCGAAUUCAAGUGCCUGUGGUACAAUCGACAGCUUUUUCGACAUACCCGUAGCGUUCAGAAAGAUGUAAGAAGAUGUAAGGAAUUAGACAUGCUCAGGAGAGAUAUUCGCAGGGAGUUGCCAUGCUUACAGCCCAUGUUGACGACAUCUCAGUAUGCUAUAAGCGUUUAGCAACUCUCGGAAAAUCACGCAUUUAGAACCAUAUACAAGGCGACCUUUUCAGCAUGACCAAAGGAUGAUACUGAUAAAACAGAUUUUUUAUUACAAGGAAAUACAAAAUUCCAGCUUAGAUCAAACCAAAGCUGGAAGACGCCUCUUUUUAGCUGAAACCUAGAACUAGGUACUCGGAAAUCGUGUUGGAAAGCAAGUUGUCGUGAAGUCUCUAUGCAAAAGGGUGAGUGAAGAAGGUAUCAGUGGAUCUUCGUUGCGAUUGUAAUACUAUGGAAGCCUACGGUCAAGCUUUCAAGCGACCACAAGUUCUUAAUUUCAUACAGCACAAAGUCUUUGCAUUUACUGGGCGCCUGGUCACACUGGCAUUGAAGGCAAUAAAAACGCUGGACAGCAGAAUAUAUACUAAUUCUCGUGAAACCUACAGUAAAGUACAUUUUGUCACAAAUAUAGAGUUUAAACAAAGUCUUCAUAAUGCUGUCCUCUGCCCCAUCUACAUACUCGUAAAUACAUGUUUUGGAAAUAAAUUUCGGAUGGAGCGAGAAUUCCCAAGAAGCAUAUUAUGGUACCCUUUUGGUCAUUGUGAAUGGUAAAUAAAAGGUCAUGAAAAUAUCAAAAUUAUUAGACGGAUUGAAAUAAACAAACGCCGACCAGACAAAUCGCCAAAGGAUAUUUUUGCAUUGGCAGACAAAAUAGCGCAGAAGAUAGUAUGCAAAAUAAAAAUAAAAAAGUAUGAAACACAAGAAGAUCCCAAAGUUUCUAACUACAUAUACAAAAAUAAUGAGUACCGAGAUA
Molecule: long non-coding RNA, 1776 nt
Organism: Ceratitis capitata (Mediterranean fruit fly)
Lineage: Eukaryota; Metazoa; Arthropoda; Insecta; Diptera; Tephritidae
Exons: 3
Source: RefSeq, a predicted model, not a curated record